CCCAGCCCUAGGUUGGUUCUUGAGUCCCACUUAACCAUGACUCCUACACCAGUGGCACCACGGAUGUCUGCAGAAAGAGAAACCAGAUGUUCUCCAAAAAAGGAACCAGAUGUGUGGAAUCAAGGGUCUUGGUGUUCACACCAGGGGACUUACAAAUGGUCAUGAGUGUUGCGACUUUCCUGAGUUCAGUUUCCUUCUUCUCAAAGUGGACCAUGAUGGAGCAACCUGUACUGUUCAGGGAGAGAAGGCAAGGGUUCCCUGAAGCAAAAGAGCUUCGGCAGCUGCUGGGAUCAUCCCUCAGUUCCUCCCUUUACUCACAGGAACAGCUCCUCCGGUUUAACACAAGGCAACCUCUCCUAACUCUUCAGCAGUUGGCUCUCAGCAGUUCACCUUACAUCCUCAGCAUGGAAGUGGGGUUCCUUAGAAAGCCAGGACUACCCCCAGGUGGAGAGCUUUCUUGGCCAAAUUUUCUGCCAAAAGCUCCAUCUGUUGCCAAAAGCUUGGUGCUUAUCCCCGAUGCCAAUCCAGUAACAAGGAUAUGGUUUUGGGGGGAAAAAAAGAAAAGAAAAAGAAGGUUUAUUGCUUUACUAGCAAAGAAGAAACACAAGGGACUCCUGUUCCAAAAGCUGUGAUUCUGCCCAUCCACAGGAG
Molecule: long non-coding RNA, 651 nt
Filed under: Marmota monax (woodchuck)
Lineage: Eukaryota; Metazoa; Chordata; Mammalia; Rodentia; Sciuridae
Source: RNAcentral